Molecule: long non-coding RNA, 481 nt
Filed under: Rattus norvegicus (Norway rat)
Lineage: Eukaryota; Metazoa; Chordata; Mammalia; Rodentia; Muridae
Description: long non-coding RNA NONRATT007948
Source: RNAcentral
AGAACCAAGAUGCCUGCCUCCUUCCGAGCCUUGCUCCGGAUGAUCAGGAUGGGAAGGAACCUUCAUAGGUCCACAUGGCAGGAUGACAGUGCACAUGCAGAGCCACCCUCACGGACCACUCCUGUCCAGCAUCCCUGGAGAUGGAAACAGAAGCCAAGGUACAGAGAGGCGUGAUUAGCAAAGGCCGCUCCACCUCUAGCUCCCGCUUCCUGGCCAAGGAAAAGGGACUGAGGCACCGACAUCUGUACAGCCUGGUGGGGCGCUGAAAAUAUGAUGCUGAGUGACAAAGAAGCCAGACGCAGGGCUGGAGAGAUGGCUCAGCGGUUAAGAGCACCGACUGCUCUUCCAGAGGUCCUGAGUUCAAUUCCCAGCAACCACAUGGUGCCUCACAACCAUCCGUGAUGGGAUCUGAUGCCCUCUUCUGGUGUGUCUGAAGACAGCUACAGUGUACUCACAUACAUGAAAUAAAUAAAUAAAUCUU